CACCAGCCCCUCGAGUGGUGGGGAUGAUUAUUGGCCUAAAGCGUCCGUAGCCGGCCGGGUAAGUUUCCCGUUAAAUCCAAUGUCUCAAGCAUUGGACUGCGGGAAAUACUGCCUGGCUAGAGAGUGGGAGAGGUGUACGGUAUUCUGGGGGUAGGGGCGAAAUCCUUUGAUCCCCGGAGGACCACCAGUGGCGAAGGCUGUACACUAGAACACGUCUGACGGUCAGGGACGAAAGCUGGGGUAGCGAACCGGAUUAGAUACCCGGGUAGUCCCAGCUGUAAACGAUGCAUGCUAGGUGUUGGGUUGGCCACGAGCCACCCCAGUGCCGCAGGGAAGCCGUUAAGCAUGCCGCCUGGGAAGUACGAUCGCAAGAUUGAAACUUAAAGGAAUUGGCGGGGGAGCACCACCAGGCGUGAAGCCUGCGGUUU
Molecule: ribosomal RNA, 428 nt
Filed under: uncultured archaeon
Lineage: Archaea
Description: bacterial SSU rRNA
Rfam family: Archaeal small subunit ribosomal RNA
Source: RNAcentral